RNAcentral lists this ribosomal RNA (508 nucleotides) under uncultured bacterium. RNAcentral's name for it is "partial 16S ribosomal RNA". It matches the Rfam family "Bacterial small subunit ribosomal RNA", at positions 28 to 523 of the family's 1533-position model. The record is from RNAcentral.
GACGAACGCUGGCGGCGUGCUUAACACAUGCAAGUGGUGCGACGAACCAGGCUUCGGCCUGGGGCAGAGCCGCGAACGGGUGGGUAACACGUGGGCAACCUGCCCUGUUGAUCGGGACAACCCGGGGAAACCCGGGCUAAUACCGAAUGUGGUGCCGGCUCAUGAGAGCCGUCACGAAAGGGAGCUUCGGCCUCCGCGACAGGAUGGGCCCGCGGCCCAUUAGCUUGUUGGUGGGGUAUGGCCUACCAAGGCAACGAUGGGUAGCUGGGCUGGGCGGCCGAUCAGCCACACUGGGACUGAGACACGGCCCAGACUCCUACGGGAGGCUGCAGGGGGGAAUCUUGCGCAAUGAGCGACAGCUUGACGCAGCAACGCCGCGUGGGGGAAGAAGGCUUUCGGGUCGUAAACCCCUUUCAGUUAGGACGAAGCUUUAUUGGUUAAUAACCAAUUGGAGUGACGGUACUUUCAGAAGAAGCCCCGGCUAACUACGUGCCAGCCGCCGCCGUAA